RNAcentral lists this ribosomal RNA (427 nucleotides) under uncultured bacterium. RNAcentral describes it as "bacterial SSU rRNA". It matches the Rfam family "Bacterial small subunit ribosomal RNA", at positions 355 to 775 of the family's 1533-position model. The record is from RNAcentral.
UCGAGAAUUUUUCUCAAUGGGCGAAAGCCUGAAGGAGCGACGCCGCGUGGGGGAUGAAGGGCUUCGGUCCGUAAACCCCUGUCAUUUGCGAACAAACCUCUUUGGAUAACACCUAAAGAGCUGAUUGUAGCGAAAGAGGAAGGGACGGCUAACUCUGUGCCAGCAGCCGCGGUAAUACAGAGGUCCCAAGCGUUGUUCGGAUUCACUGGGCGUAAAGGGUGCGUAGGUGGCGAGGUAAGUUUGAUGUGAAAUCUCCGGGCUUAACCCGGAAAUGGCAUUGAAUACUAUUUUGCUGGAGGUUUGGAGGGGGGACUGGAAUUCUCGGUGUAGCAGUGAAAUGCGUAGAUAUCGAGAGGAACACCAGUGGCGAAGGCGAGUCCCUGGACAACACCUGACACUGAGGCACGAAAGCUAGGGGAGCAAACAG